UUCCAGGAUGGGAAUCGAACCCACAGUGUUCCGCUUACCGGGAAGAUGCCAUGUCCACUAGGCUACCCUGGA
This 72-nucleotide transfer RNA is filed under the name Cordylochernes scorpioides. RNAcentral's name for it is "tRNA-Thr". Lineage: Eukaryota; Metazoa; Arthropoda; Arachnida; Pseudoscorpiones; Chernetidae. The record is from RNAcentral.